This 724-nucleotide ribosomal RNA is filed under the name Planococcus sp. ANT_H30. RNAcentral's name for it is "bacterial SSU rRNA". It matches the Rfam family "Bacterial small subunit ribosomal RNA", at positions 1 to 709 of the family's 1533-position model. The record is from RNAcentral. Lineage: Bacteria; Bacillati; Bacillota; Bacilli; Caryophanales; Caryophanaceae.
AUAAUGGAGAGUUUGAUCCUGGCUCAGGACGAACGCUGGCGGCGUGCCUAAUACAUGCAAGUCGAGCGGAACUUUGGGAGCUUGCUCCCAUUGUUUAGCGGCGGACGGGUGAGUAACACGUGGGCAACCUGCCCUGCAGAUCGGGAUAACUCCGGGAAACCGGUGCUAAUACCGAAUAGUUUGCGGCCUCUCCUGAGGCUGUACGGAAAGACGGUUUCGGCUGUCACUGCAGGAUGGGCCCGCGGCGCAUUAGCUAGUUGGUGGGGUAAUGGCCUACCAAGGCGACGAUGCGUAGCCGACCUGAGAGGGUGAUCGGCCACACUGGGACUGAGACACGGCCCAGACUCCUACGGGAGGCAGCAGUAGGGAAUCUUCCGCAAUGGACGAAAGUCUGACGGAGCAACGCCGCGUGAGUGACGAAGGUUUUCGGAUCGUAAAACUCUGUUGUGAGGGAAGAACAAGUACCAAGUAACUACUGGUACCUUGACGGUACCUCACCAGAAAGCCACGGCUAACUACGUGCCAGCAGCCGCGGUAAUACGUAGGUGGCAAGCGUUGUCCGGAAUUAUUGGGCGUAAAGCGCGCGCAGGCGGUUCCUUAAGUCCGAUGUGAAAGCCCACGGCUCAACCGUGGAGGGUCAUUGGAAACUGGGGAACUUGAGUGCAGAAGAGGAAAGUGGAAUUCCAUGUGUAGCGGUGAAAUGCGUAGAGAUGUGGAGGAACAC